CUUUCGAUAGCUCAGCUGGUAGAGCGCAGGACUGUAGGGUAAAUAGAGAAAUCCUUAGGUCGCUGGUUCAAUUCCGGCUUGAAGCA
Molecule: transfer RNA, 86 nt
Filed under: Xenopus laevis (African clawed frog)
Lineage: Eukaryota; Metazoa; Chordata; Amphibia; Anura; Pipidae
Rfam family: tRNA
About the family: Transfer RNA (tRNA) molecules are approximately 80 nucleotides in length. Their secondary structure includes four short double-helical elements and three loops (D, anti-codon, and T loops).
Source: Rfam by way of RNAcentral